RNAcentral lists this ribosomal RNA (468 nucleotides) under uncultured bacterium. Its description in RNAcentral is "partial 16S ribosomal RNA". It matches the Rfam family "Bacterial small subunit ribosomal RNA", at positions 28 to 507 of the family's 1533-position model. The record is from RNAcentral.
GACGAACGCUGGCGGCGUGCUUAACACAUGCAAGUCGAACGGAAAGGCCCUGCUUUUGUGGGGUUCUCGAUUGGCGAACGGGUGAGUAACACGUGAGUAUCCUGCCCUUGUCUUUCGGGUAACUUCAGGAAACUGGGGCUAAUAUCGGAUAGGAGCUCCUGCUGCAUGGUGGGGGUUGGAAAGUUUCGGCGGUUGGGGAUGGAAUGGCGGCUUAUGAGCUUGUUGGUCGGGUAGUGGCUUACCAAGUCUUUGACGGGUAGCCGGCCUGAGAGGGUGAACGGCGACAUUACGACUGAGAUACGGAGCAGACGCCUACGGGAGGCAGUAGUGGGGAAUAUUGCACAGUGGGCGGAAGCCUGAGACAGAAACGCCGCGUGCGGGAUGACCGCCUUCUGGUUGAGAACCGCUUUCGCCUGAGACGAAGCGGGAGUGACGGUAAUGAAUAAAGAAGCACCGGCUAACUACGUG